UGGGGAAUAUUGGACAAUGGGCGAAAGCCUGAUCCAGCCAUGCCGCGUGUAUGAAGAAGGCCUUCGGGUUGUAAAGUACUUUCAGCGAGGAGGAAGGCGUUGUGGUUAAUAACCGCAGCGAUUGACGUUACUCGCAGAAGAAGCACCGGCUAACUCCGUGCCAGCAGCCGCGGGAAUACGGAGGGUGCAAGCGGUAAUCGGAAUUACUGGGUGUAAAGCGCACGCAGGCGGUCUGUCAAGUCGGAUGUGAAAUCCCCGGGCUCAACCUGGGAACUGCAUCCGAAACUGGCAGGCUAGAGUCUUGUAGAGGGGGGUAGAAUUCCAGGUGUAGCGGUGAAAUGCGUAGAGAUCUGGAGGAAUACCGGUGGCGAAGGCGGCCCCCUGGACAAAGACUGACGCUCAGGUGCGAAAGCGUGGGGAGCAAACA
Molecule: ribosomal RNA, 427 nt
Filed under: uncultured bacterium
Lineage: Bacteria
Description: partial 16S ribosomal RNA
Rfam family: Bacterial small subunit ribosomal RNA
Source: RNAcentral